Non-coding RNA from Clostridium sp. W14A, 95 nucleotides. The record is from Rfam. NCBI's taxonomy places the organism in Bacteria, Bacillati, Bacillota, Clostridia, Eubacteriales, Clostridiaceae.
AUCAUGAUACUUCUGUCCAGUCACAGCCCCCACAUAUGGGGAUCACGCAAUGAGGGCAGCCGGCAGAGAUCCUGGCGGGGGUGAAAUUCCCAUGA